This 216-nucleotide long non-coding RNA is filed under the name Haliotis rubra (blacklip abalone). Its description in RNAcentral is "uncharacterized LOC124283467". Lineage: Eukaryota; Metazoa; Mollusca; Gastropoda; Lepetellida; Haliotidae. The record is from RNAcentral.
CCAAAAAGUAUUAUCAUGAUUGUCAUAACAGAUUACUUCCCCUUAUUGUGAGUGUUGCUCCUCAUCAGAGCACAUGGCUUGUCACUGCCUCCAUGUUGGAGACAUUCAGCUGUUGUAGUUGGCAUGAACACAAAUUUUUCUGAACCUCACCAAGCCAAAGAAAGAAGUCAAAGUGAAAUUGAACGUAUACCAGAAUAAAUUAUUGGUGCGAGUAAA